CAGCCGCCGCGGUAAUACGUAGGUGGCAAGCGUUGUCCGGAAUUAUUGGGCGUAAAGGGCUCGCAAGCGGUUUCUUAAGUCUGAUGUGAAAGCCCCCGGCUCAACCGGGGAGGGUCAUUGGAAACUGGGAAACUUGAGUGCAGAAGAGGAGAGUGGAAUUCCACGUGUAGCGGUGAAAUGCGUAGAGAUGUGGAGGAACACCAGUGGCGAAGGCGACUCUCUGGUCUGUAACUGACGCUGAGGAGCGAAAGCGUGGGGAGCGAACAGGAUUAGAUACCCCAGUAGUCCCUGUCUCUUAUAC
Molecule: ribosomal RNA, 301 nt
Filed under: uncultured bacterium
Lineage: Bacteria
Description: partial 16S ribosomal RNA
Rfam family: Bacterial small subunit ribosomal RNA
Source: RNAcentral